Molecule: non-coding RNA, 24 nt
Filed under: Cricetulus griseus (Chinese hamster)
Lineage: Eukaryota; Metazoa; Chordata; Mammalia; Rodentia; Cricetidae
Source: RNAcentral
CACAUGUGACUAAUUUAUUUGAAC